AUUGAACGCUGGCGGCAGGCUUAACACAUGCAAGUCGAGCGGAGUGAUGGUGCUUGCACUAUCACUUAGCGGCGGACGGGUGCGUAAUGCUUAGGAAUCUGCCUAUUAGUGGGGGACAACAUCUCGAAAGGGAUGCUAAUACCGCAUACGUCCUACGGGAGAAAGCAGGGGAUCACUUGUGACAUUGCGCUAAUAGAUGAGCCUAAGUCGGAUUAGCUAGUUGGUGGGGUAAAGGCCUACCAAGGCGACGAUCUGUAGCGGGUCUGAGAGGAUGAUCCGCCACACUGGGACUGAGACACGGCCCAGACUCCUACGGGAGGCAGCAGUGGGGAAUAUUGGACAAUGGGGGGAACCCUGAUCCAGCCAUGCCGCGUGUGUGAAGAAGGCCUUAUGGUUGUAAAGCACUUUAAGCGAGGAGGAGGCUCUUUUGGUUAAUACCCAAGAUGAGUGGACGUGACUCGCAGAAUAAGCACCGGCUAACUCUGUGCCAGCCGCCGCCGUAA
Molecule: ribosomal RNA, 503 nt
Filed under: uncultured bacterium
Lineage: Bacteria
Description: partial 16S ribosomal RNA
Rfam family: Bacterial small subunit ribosomal RNA
Source: RNAcentral